UUCGCCAAGGAUAUCAAUCAAGGUUCAAGGUUAAAAUAAAUAAAACAUUGAGAACAUGUAGGACUUCAAAUCCUCUUAGAGAAUCAAGCAAUACAGAACCAGGAUUGCUCCAUCUUUUGGAAGUACAGAAUGUUGGCUCGAUGAUAACAAACAUCGCCAACAUCAAUCAUGUUGCCGCAAGACCAAAACCAAAAAUCAAACAUUACACUGACUACCAUGAGUGCUUCCAUUUCGAAUCACCAACUCCACUAAUGAAAAUCGACUAGUUGGAUAAAGAAAAGAAAAACACAUUUCAGAUUGAAAUUAAAGCAGAUCAAACACAUGUAAAACCUUCUAACCCUACCUCGUCAGGGAGGACGGGCAACACGCAGAGUAAAAACACAUACACGCAAGCGCAGAGAGAGAACAAGCGCAGAGAGAGAAAAUGUUGAAGAAGAUUCACG
This 443-nucleotide long non-coding RNA is filed under the name Hordeum vulgare. RNAcentral's name for it is "long non-coding RNA (HVUL_LNC017336)". The record is from RNAcentral. Lineage: Eukaryota; Viridiplantae; Streptophyta; Magnoliopsida; Poales; Poaceae.